RNAcentral lists this non-coding RNA (24 nucleotides) under Mus musculus (house mouse). The record is from RNAcentral. Lineage: Eukaryota; Metazoa; Chordata; Mammalia; Rodentia; Muridae.
GAGGCUUCUUCAUUCUCUCUGGAC